GGGAAGGUAGCUUAGUGGUAGAGUGCUUGCCUUGCAUGCAUGAGGCCCUGGGUUCAAUUCCUCAGCACCA
Dipodomys ordii (Ord's kangaroo rat) is the source of this 70-nucleotide non-coding RNA. The record is from Rfam. NCBI's taxonomy places the organism in Eukaryota, Metazoa, Chordata, Mammalia, Rodentia, Heteromyidae.